UCUGUGAUGAUGAGAAGCGCAGGGGUACGGACCUCAGCCAGUGAUGGGGGCUGAGUGCUGCUGCUGAUGUCUGAUUGGAGGGCGAGUGGUUCACUGACAGACCAACAGCAGCACGAGACAGACGCCACUCUGAACAGA
Small nucleolar RNA from Dicentrarchus labrax (European seabass), 138 nucleotides. The record is from Ensembl. NCBI's taxonomy places the organism in Eukaryota, Metazoa, Chordata, Actinopteri, Moronidae.